GAUCAUAUGAUGAGAAAAAAACUGCAACAAUAUGAUUGGAUUCGUUCCAUGAUUCCUAGUAUUUAAGUCUCUGAUGAUU
Molecule: non-coding RNA, 79 nt
Organism: Glycine max (soybean)
Lineage: Eukaryota; Viridiplantae; Streptophyta; Magnoliopsida; Fabales; Fabaceae
Source: Rfam